CCCGUUCGCGGCGGGCCUGGGCGUACCGCUCGUAGCGCUCGUACCGCUCCACCCGGCGGCGCUUGGCACGCCGGAACCGGC
This 81-nucleotide transfer RNA is filed under the name Streptomyces hygroscopicus subsp. hygroscopicus. RNAcentral describes it as "tRNA-Thr". The record is from RNAcentral. Lineage: Bacteria; Bacillati; Actinomycetota; Actinomycetes; Kitasatosporales; Streptomycetaceae.